Ochotona curzoniae (black-lipped pika) is the source of this 1599-nucleotide RNA transcript. It is a transcript of the gene named patr class I histocompatibility antigen, B-2 alpha chain-like, with no coding region annotated. The record is from RefSeq and is a predicted model, not a curated record. NCBI's taxonomy places the organism in Eukaryota, Metazoa, Chordata, Mammalia, Lagomorpha, Ochotonidae. The transcript has 7 exons.
AUAAAGUCGACUGCGAGGCUUCAGCAUCGGAGUCCUCUGAGCCGUCCAGGAUGGGGUCCAUGGCGCCCCGGACCCUCCUCCUGCUGCUCGCGGGGGCCCUGGCCCUGACCGAGACCCGGGCGGGCUCCCACUCCCUGAACUAUUUCCACACCGCCGUGUCCCGGCCCGAACUCGGGGAGCCCCGCUUCAUCGCCGUGGGCUACGUGGACGAGACGCAGUUCGUGCGCUUCGACAGCGACGCCAAGAACCCGAGCGCAGAACCGAAGACGGAAUGGAUUCGGCAGGUGGAGCCGGAGUACUGGGACGAGCAGACACAGAUCUCCAAGAACAAUGCACAGACUUUCCGCGUGGACCUUCAGACCCUGCUCCGCUACUACAACCAGAGCGAGGCCGGCUCUCACACCAUCCAGAGGAUGCACGGCUGCGAGGUCGGGGCGGAUGGGCGCCUCCUCCGCGGGUACCAGCAGUAUGCCUAUGAUGGCAAGGACUACCUCGCCCUGAAUGAGGACCUGAGCUCCUGGACCGCGGCCGACAUGGCGGCUCAGAACACCCAGCGCAAGUGGGAGGCAGUGGGUUAUGCUGAGUUCUACCGGGCCUACCUGGAGAGCGAGUGCGUGGAGUGGCUGCACAGACACCUGGAGAUGGGAAAGGACACUCUGCAGAGAGCAGACCCUCCCACAGCACAUGUGACCCACCACCCAGUCUCUGACCAGAAGGCCACCCUGAGGUGCUGGGCCCUGGGCUUCUACCCCAAGGACGUCACACUCACCUGGCACCGAGAUGGGGAGGACCUGACCCAGGACACAGAGCUGAUAGAGACCAGGCCUGCAGGGGAUGGAAGCUUCCAGAAGUGGGCAGCUGUGCUGGUGCCUUCUGGAGAGGAGCAGAGAUAUACAUGCCAUGUGGUGCAUGAGGGGCUGCCUGAGCCCCUCACCCUAAGAUGGGAGCCUCCUCAGCCCACUGUGCCCAUGUUGGGAGUCAUCGCUGGCCUGGUCCUCCUGGCAGCUGUGCUCAUUGGAGUUGUGGUCACUGUUGUGAUGAUGAUGAAGAGGAAGCGCUCAGGUGGGAAAGGAAGGAUCUACAUUAAGGCUGCAGGUAAGCACUGGGGUGUGUUUGGGGGGUGGUGGAGCCCCAAGGACCUUGCCCGUGGAGAAGCUGCUCUGCCCACCGGUCGCUCCUCCCUCAGCAACACCCCUGGGGUACUCUCCAAGUUCUGAUUGGUUCUCCCAGAUGGGACAGUUCCCAGGGUCUGACUGCUCUCUCAUAGCUUGAAAGUUUGAGACAACUGCCUUGUUACGACAGAUUUACUGAAGUCUCCAUCUUUGUUUUUUUCAAAAAGCCCUGCCUUCCCUUCCUGCAAAGGCAGCUGACUAUGUUCCUGUGGGCACAGUGUGAGGUGGGAGCCUGGCCCUCCCAGCCCAGCAUGGGGUCCUCUGUCCCUGUCUCAAGUUGGGUCAUUUACUGCAGCUUCAUCCUUCCCUGUGCAAUUCAUUUUUUUUUUUUCAAUUUCAAUCACGAGGUGUUAGUGAGAAAAUUAAAAGAGGAAAUUCCAAAAAUUGGACAGAGAAAAUAAACAGAAGCACCAAGAACCUUCCAGAU